AGGAUAAACGCUGGCGGCGUGCCUAACACAUGCAAGUCGAACGUCUCUUCUUUCGGGAAGAGGAGUGGCGGACGGGUGAGGAACACGUGGGAACCUGCCCUUUAGUGAGGAAUACCGGCGAGAAAUCGCCGACAAGACCGCAUAGCCCUCUUUGAUGAGAGUCAAAGAAGGAAAGCUUCGCAAGAGGCGCUAGAGGAGGGGCCUGCGUCCGAUUAGCUAGUUGGUGGGGUAAGAGCCUACCAAGGCGUCGAUCGGUAGC
RNAcentral lists this ribosomal RNA (259 nucleotides) under uncultured bacterium. Its description in RNAcentral is "partial small subunit ribosomal RNA". It matches the Rfam family "Bacterial small subunit ribosomal RNA", at positions 26 to 287 of the family's 1533-position model. The record is from RNAcentral.